This 468-nucleotide ribosomal RNA is filed under the name uncultured bacterium. RNAcentral describes it as "partial 16S ribosomal RNA". It matches the Rfam family "Bacterial small subunit ribosomal RNA", at positions 28 to 507 of the family's 1533-position model. The record is from RNAcentral.
GACGAACGCUGGCGGCGUGCUUAACACAUGCAAGUCGAACGGAAAGGCCCUGCUUUUGUGGGGUGCUCGAGUGGCGAACGGGUGAGUAACACGUGAGUAACCUGCCCUUGACUUUCGGAUAACUUCAGGAAACUGGGGCUAAUACCGGAUAGGAGCUCCUGCUGCAUGGUGGGGGUUGGAAAGUGUCGGCGGUUGGGGAUGGACUCGCGGCUUAUCAGCUUGUUGGUGGGGUAGUGGCUUACCAAGGCUUUGACGGGUAGCCGGCCUGAGAGGGUGACCGGCCACAUUGGGACUGAGAUACGGCCCAGACUCCUACGGGAGGCAGCAGUGGGGAGUAUUGCACAAUGGGCGGGAGCCUGAUGCAGCAACGCCGCGUGCGGGAUGACGGCCUUCGGGUUGUAAACCGCUUUCGCCUGUGACGAAGCGUGAGUGACGGUAAUGGGUAAAGAAGCACCGGCUAACUACGUG